AUACGUAGGGGGCGAGCGUUGUCCGGAAUGAUUGGGCGUAAAGGGCGCGUAGGCGGCCCGGUAAGUCUGGAGUGAAAGUCCUGUUUUUAAGAUGGGAAUUGCUUUGGAUACUGUCGGGCUUGAGUGCAGGAGAGGUAAGUGGAAUUCCCAGUGUAGCGGUGAGAUGCGUAGAGAUUGGGAGGAACACCAGUGGCGAAGGCGACUUACUGGACUGUAACUGACGCUGAGGCGCGAAAGUGUGGGGAGCAAACAGGAUUAAAUACCCUGGUAGUCCACACUGUAAACGAUGAAUGCUAGGUGUAGGGGGUAUCGACCCCUUCUGUGCCGCAGUCAACACAAUAAGCAUUCCGCCUGGGGAGUACGGCCGCAAGGUUGAAACUCAAAUGAAUUGACGGGG
RNAcentral lists this ribosomal RNA (397 nucleotides) under uncultured bacterium. RNAcentral describes it as "partial 16S ribosomal RNA". It matches the Rfam family "Bacterial small subunit ribosomal RNA", at positions 523 to 918 of the family's 1533-position model. The record is from RNAcentral.